Non-coding RNA from Styela clava, 1035 nucleotides. Lineage: Eukaryota; Metazoa; Chordata; Ascidiacea; Stolidobranchia; Styelidae. The record is from RefSeq and is a predicted model, not a curated record.
GAAAAAUUUAACAUUUAUUAUCAUAUAGCAUGUAAUGGACUAAAAUGGUGGAGACUGAAGUCUGAGUUAUUGACCCAGCUCCAUGUAGAACUCAGGUGCUUUUAAGACCGGGAAUUGAUUGAUUGCGUGGCAUAAAUGAGCUUACUGCACACAGUAAGAUUAGGGUGAUACGCUUAAGAUACUGUUAUAUCCAAGUACAUGCCACUGGUCCCAGAUAGGGAAGAUAUUGAAUGGAAUUUGAGCAAAUCACAAAAAGAAGAUACGAAUAAUUAUCAUUCCAGGUAUUAAAGACCCAACAGCUUGAAGUGUGGUCAAAUGUUGAGCUGACAAUAGUAAGAAAACAAGACUCAGACAUGAUAUCAACUGGAAGAUGUGGCGGCACCGGAUUGUGUUUGUGUUGGUUUGAAGAGUUAUCAAAUUCUUCGCGCUAUUGAGGAGGCAAGCAUCGUCAGCGAAAAAGUUUGCUUAAAAGAUUUGAUGAGUUCGAUAAAUCAUUUAUGUAUAAUAAAAAUUCAAGAGCACCCAACACAGAACCUUGAACAACUCCACAGUGAAUGGGCAACAUUGGAGACUUAUGAGAAUCCACCUCCACAAAUUGAUAUCUACCAAGCAGGUUCAAGAUUAUUUGAUGAACUUCGGGAGGUGUCGUUUGCUCGAGAAAAAAAGAAUUUUGUAAAGGAGCGCCUAAGAAGUCAGUGGGUGACUUAGAGCUAUGUGGGAUUUUAUCCGCAAGUUUCUUGCCUACAGUGGAAAAGAACUUAUUGAACUCUGAGGCCAUUAUUACGGGGUCUUUAACAAUGGAACCAUUUUCAAGUUUCAAUUCUUGGAUGGUGGAAUUAUCACUGGACUUAACUUUGAUAAUCUCAUUGAUAGUCCUCCAAGUUCGUUUAACGUCCCCUCUGUUGUUAUCAAGGAUAUUAUGGUAAUACUGUUGCUUGGAUUUUCUCAGUAAAUGUAACAGAAUAUUUUUGAAUUUUGUAAAGUAAAGACGCUGAGAUGCAUUGCCCUUCAAAAACUUUUUUUUGAACAUGCUGU